This 253-nucleotide ribosomal RNA is filed under the name uncultured bacterium. Its description in RNAcentral is "partial 16S ribosomal RNA". It matches the Rfam family "Bacterial small subunit ribosomal RNA", at positions 524 to 776 of the family's 1533-position model. The record is from RNAcentral.
GACGGAGGGUGCAAGCGUUGUUCGGAAUUACUGGGCGUAAAGCGCGUGUAGGCGGCUCGCUAAGUCUGAUGUGAAAUCCCGGGGCUCACCCCCGGAAGUGCAUUGGAAACUGGCGAGCUCGAGUCCCGGAGAGGAGGGUGGAAUUCCUGGUGUAGCGGUGAAAUGCGUAGAUAUCAGGAGGAACACCGGUGGCGAAGGCGGCCCUCUGGACGGUGGCUGACGCUGAGACGCGGAAGCGUGGGGAGCAAACAGG